UCUCUCUUUCGGGCAGAGAGAAGAAACCCACGCGCGCACGCGGUGAUGUCUUACGGGUGAUAAUUGGCCCAGGGGUCGGGUCUGACGGGAACAGAAAGUUUUGAGGGAGUUUACUGCUGAUGCAAGGUGACUGGUUGGAUAAAGAAGUCCAAAGUUAUUUUUUUAUCUGUAGAACAAAUAAAGCCUGGCCAAAGGUUUGAAGCCUCUGAGAGCCAGGCCCAGGCUGUGUCCAUCCAUAACCCUGCGACAUGCACGCCACAGAAUAGGCUGUUUGGCUGAGUGAGGAGCGCAGCAAAGGGAACACUUUCCAUUUGCUCCCUAAGAGACACUACAUGAUAUACCAAGAGUAAUGGCGGAUACUCUGUGAUUAUCACUACUUUUAAAAUAUUUAUUUGUUUUUGAGGGAGGGUCUUACUAUGUUGA
Peromyscus leucopus (white-footed mouse) is the source of this 423-nucleotide long non-coding RNA. RefSeq lists it as uncharacterized. NCBI's taxonomy places the organism in Eukaryota, Metazoa, Chordata, Mammalia, Rodentia, Cricetidae. The record is from RefSeq and is a predicted model, not a curated record. The transcript is spliced from 3 exons.